This 523-nucleotide ribosomal RNA is filed under the name Babesia bovis. RNAcentral describes it as "bacterial SSU rRNA". It matches the Rfam family "Eukaryotic small subunit ribosomal RNA", at positions 1214 to 1764 of the family's 1831-position model. The record is from RNAcentral. Lineage: Eukaryota; Apicomplexa; Aconoidasida; Piroplasmida; Babesiidae.
CUCACCCAGUCCAGACAGCGUAAGGAUUGACAGGUUGAUUGUUCUUUCUUGAUUCUCUGGGUAGUGGUGCAUGGCCGUUCUUAGUUGGUGGAGUGAUUUGUCUGGUUAAUUCCGUUAACGAACGAGACCUUAACCUGCUAUUUAGUCGCUCGGUCUUUGUCCGUGCGCACUUCAUAGAGGGACUCUGGUGCGUCAAGCUGCGGUGAGGUUUAAGGCAAUAACAGGUCUGUGAUGCCCUUAGAUGUCCUGGGCUGCACGCGCGCUACACUGAUGCUUGCCUCGUGUUUGCCCUCGGCCGAUAGGCCUUGGUAACCCCUAGUGUGCAUCGUGUUUGGGAUUGAUCUUUGCAAUUCUAGAUCAUGAACGAGGAAUGCCUAGUAUGCGCAAGUCAUCAGCUUGUGCAGAUUACGUCCCUGCCCUUUGUACACCACCCCCGUCGCUCCUACCGAUCGAGUGAUUCAGUGAAUUAAUCUCAACCAGCCUUCUCCAAUCCUCCCUUCUUUCCUGCCAAAUUUUUUUUAAC